GGGGGGGGGGGGGGGGGGGGGGGGCGCGGGGGGGUCGGGGGGCGGCGCGGGGGGGGGCAGCUGGGGGCGAGGGGCGGACGGGGGAGGAGUACAUGGGAACAUGGCCUGUGGGGGGGGAGAGCCCGGCGAAAGCCGGGUUAAUACCGCAGACGAUCUACGGAGGAAAGCGGGGGACCGGCGGGCCGCGCGCUAGAGGUGUGGCCGGUGGCGGAGUAGCUAGUGUGGGGGGGAGAGGCCUACCAAGGCGACGAGCGGUAGCUGGUCUGAGAGGACGACCAGACACACUGGGACUGAGACACGGCCCAGACUCCUACGGGAGGCAGCAGUGGGGAAUUUUGGACAAUGGGCGAAAGCCUGAUCCAGCAAUGCCGCGUGUGUGAAGAAGGCCUUCGGGUUGUAAAGCACUUUUGUCCGGAAAGAAAUCCUUGGCCCUAAUACGGUCGGGGGAUGACGGUACCGGAAGAAUAAGCACCGGCUAACUACGUG
RNAcentral lists this ribosomal RNA (486 nucleotides) under uncultured bacterium. Its description in RNAcentral is "partial 16S ribosomal RNA". The stretch from base 54 to 486 matches the Rfam family "Bacterial small subunit ribosomal RNA", at positions 39 to 507 of the family's 1533-position model. The record is from RNAcentral.